RNAcentral lists this long non-coding RNA (1389 nucleotides) under Marmota monax (woodchuck). The stretch from base 656 to 727 matches the Rfam family "tRNA". Lineage: Eukaryota; Metazoa; Chordata; Mammalia; Rodentia; Sciuridae. The record is from RNAcentral.
GAAGUUUGAGCCUCACCAGGGGGAAGUCAGAUGGGGAAAAAUUUGGGUGCAUGGCAGCUGUCCAGAGAAGGGAAAGCCACUGCACUUCCCUGAGCCAGUCUCUCCUGACUCCCCGCUUCCUCUCCAAACAUGCUUCCACAGCUUGAAGUAGUGGCCCUUAUAGUGGAACCAAGGUUUGCAGGACCAGGAGAGUGUGGCAUCUGGUCCCAUCUGUUUUUUUUUUUUUUUUUUGUCUCUGUGUGUGUUGAACCCCAGUAGGGUUUAAACUCAGGACUACUCUAUCACUGAGCUACAUUCCAGUCCUCUUAAUUUAUUUUUAAAAAUUAUUUUACUAUUUUGAGACAGGGUCUGGCUAAGUUGCUGAGGCUUCUUUGAACUUGAGAACCUCAGCCUCUCAAGCAGCUGGAAUUACAGGCAUGGGCCACCAUGCUUGGCUGGCUGGUGCUCUUUAGAAGUUCUUCAUCUGCCUUGUUUUCAGCUGUGGGCCUGCCAAGUGUGCUUUGGUCGAAAAGUCCUAUUUGACAGGGUGUAGUGGCCCACACCCGGCAACUAGGGCAACUGAGACAUGAGGAUCUCAAGUUUAGGGACAGCGUGGGCAACUUGGUUAGUGGAGGAUCUGUCUCAAAACAAAAAAUAAAAAGGGCUGGAGAUGGGCUGGGUUGUGGCUCAGCGGUAGAGCGCUUGCCUAGCACGUGUGAGGCCCUGGGUUCGAUCCUCAGCACCACAUAGAAAUAAAUUAAAAAAUAAAGGUAUUGUGUCCAACUACAACUAAAAAAAAUAAAUUAAAAAAAGAAAGGGCUGGGAUGAAGUUUGAUUAUAGAGUGCCCUGGGUUCAGUCCCAGGUACUGAAAAGAAAGGCCCUCUUUGAUGUUUUCUUUACUCUACCUCAUUUUUGAUAAUGGAAAGAUCCUGCUCAAUGACUUUCCAUGUCUCUAUUUUGAAUGAGAUAAAUUCCAAACUCCUGUCCUGGCAUUCAAGGCCCUCCACAAACUAGCUCCAACUUAGCCUUCCAGCUUUCUCUCUUACCACUCUUAGCACAGAUUUUCUUUCCUUCCAGACUGGCCUGCAUGCUCACUGCCCCACAAAUGGCCUCGCUCAGUUUUUGUUGGGGGGCUUCACUCAUCCAUCACCAUUUGGAAGGCCCUUUCUCUCUUCUGGCCCAUGCGGUUCUUUCCCAUUAUUGCCUCCUCAUCUUUCCUCCCUGGUUCCCAGCCUUCCUUCCUGGCAGCAUCCUGCUGUCUAGUUCAAGCCCAUUGGACAUGUAUCCUUCUGCCUCCAGUGGUUGGGGGCCUCCUCACAUGUUUUUGUCUCCUAUGCUGGGAGCAGGGUCAGUUGCCAAAUGACUGGCCGAUUGAUUGAUUGGAGACAGCUUGGUUGGAGCCACGCCCA